AAAAUGAGGUGAUUCAUCUUGGACACGGUCAUUCUUGUACGGAUAUUGUUGACCUCUAUUUGCAUGGGGAGAAAAUCAGGAUCUCAAGACUGCCUCUAUCAAAGAAUUCUGCGUAAACAAGGUAAUGACUUUUUUUGUACAUCGUUUUUCUAGUUUACUUGUUCGAUUUUUCUCUAGUUUUUUUUAGUUGUCAAUUUUUUUAUGUUUCAUUUCCUGCACAUACCUAAUGUAUGUUCUUCAGAUAAUUUCGCAGUUUCAGCCAUUGUUGUCAUAAAGUAUUUUUUGUGUUAAUUGAGGUCCAAGUCAUUACCAAAUAGCAAUUCCACUCUCAGAUUCACGCAGGUUCCUUUCAAAAUUCAAACCGUAGUUGGAUUUCAAUAUGUUGUGUAGUUUCUUUUCCUAUAUGAUUCACAAUUCCUUUCCUAUAUGUUUCGUAGUUUCAUAUUAUGCUCACAUAUAUUCAUUUACGUUUUUCACCACUGAAGGAUUCGAAUGUUAUGGAAUAACAUACUUUGGAAUAACAAUUAAUGGAUUUCAUCUUUUUUGAGGGUAGAAGGUGAUCAAUCAAGCCUUCUUCUUUUCACCUCUUUUUGUCUUUUUUUUUUUUAUUUUGAUAAGUUCCAUGAGACAUAAGUAAACUUGAAUUUUGAAUCUUCAGCCAGAUUAAUAGUGAUUAUUUUUAACCAACUUGAUCUCCAGUCUCUAUUUUAACAUUUAACAAUAUUUUCUUUUGAAUUUCGAACAUAAGUAUAUAAAUACUCUAACUAUAAAGUAUGAUGAAGAAGACGGUUGUUUAAUAGAUUGCGCAUGGGUUGAUUAAGGAACGAUUUGUGUUUAAAUUGUUUAUCAUUUUUGGUUGAAUGUAAUUUGGGUGUCUUGCAGUUUUGACAUUGUUUUAAAAUGGCAAUAUAAAAGAGCGUCUCGAUAAGUCGAUAGGGAUGAAACCCCGAUAUUAUGGGAUAUAAGUUGUGAAAAAAUGGAAAAGAUAGGAAAGAAAAUCGAAGCAUCUAUAUAUGGCAACUGAAGUGCCCAAUUUAACUACUCAAAACCGCAGUGGAACGAGAAGAGAAGAAGAAUAAACAUUGUCUAACUUCUCCAAAUUCCAAUUCAUUUCUAAAAACUUGUCGAUUGGAUUUGAAUUGGGAUUUGUCAGAUUUGACGAUAAAACAAACAAACCAUUAAGUUUCCUAGUUUAUAUAAUAACGUCGAUUUCGAAGAUAAGCAGUUUAGGAAUUUGGAUGAUGGGAUGUUUUCCCUGUUUCACAUCCGGUGUGAAAAAAGAGAUUGUAAGUUUAGAACACACAGUUUCAUGGCCAGCAGACCAAAAUUUCAGGGAUGGAAUGAAAUCGCUUGUCGAAAGCAUGUCAUUCAAAUCUGGUAUACAAUGAAUAUUUGAUCAAUCCUUGGAAAAAAAAGAGUGAUGAAUGAUGAUGUCAUGACUUUGGUCAUGUGAAUGCAGAUGCCGCUAGACACAAAGCUAUAACCGAGGAGUUAUUAAAGAUGGGAAAUGGACAGAAUUUACCCACAGUGUACAAAUUCUCUGACUUAGCAGAUGCAACCAAUAACUUCAAUUCAGACAGCUUGUUAGGGGAAGGAGGAUUUGGAAGGGUAUACAGAGGUCGUCUGAAAAGCACAAAUCAAGUGAUUACUGAAAACUCCCCCUGUUCCUCCUUCAUCUCGGAUGUUUGAGUUUUCUUAAAAUGGAAAUUCAUGAAAUGGGAAAUUCAUUUUGUUUUUCUUCAGGAAAUUGCAGUUAAGAAAUUAGAUAGGAACGGGUUACAGGGAAGCAGAGAGUUUCUUGUUGAAAUGAUGAUGCUCAGUUUUCUUAACCACCCUUUUCUCGUCAACUUGCUGGGAUACUGUGCUGAUGGAGACCAAAGAAUACUUGUAUACGACUACAUGUCUCAUGGUUCUUUAGAAGAUCAUCUUCUUGGUAACACUGCAUUGUUGAUUUAGUUGAUUGAAAAUGAUGGAUGGAUAUUGGAUGGAUGAUUCGAGACAAUUUUUUUAUAGAUUUACCGUCAGAUAAGAAGCCAUUGAAUUGGGCCACAAGGAUGAGGAUAGCUGAAGGUGCUGCUAAAGGGUUGGAAUACCUGCACAAUGUAGCAAAACCUCCAGUUAUUUACCGUGAUUUCAAGGCUUCAAACAUACUCCUAGAUGACGAAUACAAUCCAAAACUCUCAGACUUUGGAUUAGCAAAACAAGGUCCCAUGGGAGAUAAAACCCAUGUCUCCACUAGAGUCAUGGGCACAUAUGGUUACUGUGCUCCAGAGUAUGCAAUGACUGGCAAGUUAACAACAAUGUCGGAUGUUUACAGCUUCGGUGUGGUUUUUCUUGAACUUAUUACGGGAAGAAGGGCCAUCGACACUGCAAAACCACCCAGUCAACAAAAUCUUGUUCAAUGGGUAAACAAAUUAGCAAAUAAUCAAUAUAUGUAUGUAUGUAUUAUGAAUGGAUGUGUAUUCAAAUUCCAAAUUUGAAAUUUCAGGCAGAGCCCUUGUUCAAGGAUAAGAGGUUAUUUGUGAAAAUGGUAGAUCCAUUACUUGAAGACAAUUUUCCAAUGAAGGGCUUGUUUCAAGCCUUGGCCGUGGCUGCAAUGUGCCUUCAAGAGGAAGCGACGACACGCCCAUUGAUGAGUGAUGUUGUCACUGCAUUAGAAUAUCUUACCGUUCCAGAUAACACAAACAGUGACUACUUAGAUCAACUUCUUAAUGAAGACAGUUCUGAAUCUUGAGGGAUACAUCACUUGAUCACAAACGAUUCACUUCUUUGAACGAUGGAGAGGUAGGAAGCAAGGGCAAUGGUCCGAUGGAUAAGCUGGAUCAAGAACCUUACCAAUGGAUCAAUGAUGUAUUCCUCAGAAUUUCAGAUGUGAUGGCAGCCCCGAAUCCGAACUGAAUGUGUUUAAAUUAGAAUUCUAUUAACAAAUAAAAGGGAUAAAAAUAAAAUCUGGUGCCUUGAAAUAUAAAUAACCCAAAGCAACGGAAAAUAAUUUCAUAUACUGACUCAAAUUGUAAAAUAAAUUUAAAUGUUUCUCACAAGUAAAUAUAAAUGCUCUUUUGAACUGCAUGUUUACUCACUUUACUGGUUCAAAUUUCAGGUGAAUGUACCAACAAAGUAAGGAAGACAUGUCAUUAAGACAUUAACACUUAACAGUGAAAAAAAAAUACACUUACAUUUUCAGAACAAUGCAUUUACACUCUAUGUAGCCACCAAGAAACUAAAUUCCAUCUUCAUUGGGUGAUUUCGUGACUAGAAUUUUAUAUUUUUGUAAAUGAUAAUGAAUCAAGG
RNAcentral lists this long non-coding RNA (3291 nucleotides) under Zostera marina. Its description in RNAcentral is "long non-coding RNA (ZMAR_LNC005622)". The record is from RNAcentral. Lineage: Eukaryota; Viridiplantae; Streptophyta; Magnoliopsida; Alismatales; Zosteraceae.